This 25-nucleotide non-coding RNA is filed under the name Arabidopsis thaliana (thale cress). Lineage: Eukaryota; Viridiplantae; Streptophyta; Magnoliopsida; Brassicales; Brassicaceae. The record is from RNAcentral.
AGAUCUUUUUCAGUUGAUGUCAAUC